GAUGAAGAACGCAGCGAAAUGCGAUACGUAAUGUGAAUUGCAGAAUUCAGUGAAUCAUCGAGUCUUUGAGCGCACAUUGCGCCCCCUGGUAUUCCGGGGGGCAUGCCUGUCCGAGCGUCAUUGCUGCCCUCAAGCACGGCUUGUGUGUUGGGCCUCCGUCCUCCUCCCGGGGGACGGGCCCGAAAGGCAGCGGCGGCACCGCGUCCGGUCCUCGAGCGUAUGGGGCUUCGUCACCCGCUCUUGUAGGCCCGGCCGGCGCUUGCCGACACAUCAAUCUUUUUUCCAGGUUGACCUCGGAUCAGGUAGGGAUACCCGCUGAACUUAAGCAUAUCAAUAAGCGGAGGA
Molecule: unclassified non-coding RNA, 345 nt
Filed under: soil metagenome
Description: partial contains 5.8S ribosomal RNA, internal transcribed spacer 2, and large subunit ribosomal RNA
Rfam family: 5.8S ribosomal RNA (bases 1-120)
Source: RNAcentral